Molecule: long non-coding RNA, 288 nt
Organism: Macrobrachium nipponense
Lineage: Eukaryota; Metazoa; Arthropoda; Malacostraca; Decapoda; Palaemonidae
Exons: 3
Source: RefSeq, a predicted model, not a curated record
GCAUGAGCUCUCUCUAUUCUAUAUAUAAAGAACAAGGAAGCAACGACAGUGCUAUUUUGUCAGUCAUCUCUAGCAACUUCGAGUGUCGUCGUUCUCUCCUGCUUCUUCCUCAGUCAAAAUGAAACCUGGCGUCGCCCUAGUUUACGCCGUGGGUCUAGUGACUCUCACUGACUGCAUUCAACUGAAGCCGACGAACAUCAACGCCAUCCCCACAAUCCCUAUCACCAUAGAGAACAUCAACACCCUUAUCGUCUUCGUCGGCUUGGGGAUCAGCGUCAUCAUCGGCUA